GAGUCAGGAGGAGAGGAGAGUUAAGAUACAACAAAUAGAGCAGCAGAAGGCAAGAGGAUCAAGAAAUGAGAAUUUUCAAGCGUCAGUGUGAAUGUGUGUGUGUGUGUGUGUGUGUGUGUGUGUGUUUGUACAGCUGUGUGUUUGAGGGAGUGAGCUUCUGGGGGAGUUGAAAGACCUUCAGGCACUUGGUGACAGACUGAACCGUAUAUUACAUUAAAGUCAGCCUGUGCAUACAGUUGCAGGUGUGUUAGACUGUGUGUGUGAGUGUGAGUGUGAGUGUGUGUGUUUGUGUGUGUCUGUGUGUUUGUCUGUACAAGCCACAGGUUGAGCUAGUUGAAUCAUGCACACCACACUAAGCAUUUAUACACUAGGAGAGGCAGGACUGAAAUCCUAGUAAAAAGAAGAAAAAAGCAUCAAAUCUGCCCACCCUUUUGAAAACCAUUUGAAGACUUUCCCCUGGAUCUGAUUGGCUGAAACACUUCCUUAGUGCUAGUCGCAAUAGUUUCUUGCAACAAGAAUUAAACUGAACUCAAAUGAACUGAAUCAGAUAGAUUUAAUCAGAACUGAACUGAAAUUGCCUUUUGUUGUUGUUGUUGUUGUUAUUGUUGUUGUUGUUGUUGUUGUUGCUGAUGAUCUUGAUGCUGGGAGCUUGUCCCAGUCCACGGAGGGGAAAAAAAGGAACCUUGACGAACUGUGCAGGUCCUGUGUAGGAUACUAGUCAAAGUAGCUGAUAGUUCAUAAACGCACCCUGGUACUCCAGACACCAGUGUUUUAGUUGUCAUCUCCACUCUGUCUGCUGUGUCAUCCUGUGUUCACCAUCAGUCUCCAUCAAGUCUCUAAGGAAGGCAACAGGACUGGAUGGGGUCACGGGGAAAUAUAGAGCAUUUAAACAAUGAAUCAUUCACUUAAACAAAAGUAGGGGGAUUUACUGUAGAUGUGCUAUUGACACUGAAACUGCAAGGGUUCGUUGACGUUAUAAGUUGCUGUGUUACUUUUGUGUCCUGUCUUUGAAGUACUCGGUUAAUCCUCUGUCAUCUCUGAGGUUAAAGAAGCACACGAUGGCUACGGACUGGAGCAGCCAUGGAUCCACUCAGCAAUACUGCCCUCCUCUCAACCCACUGCAGCUGUUUGGAGGAGAGCAAGAGGAGCAGUGAGGAGGGAUGACGGAGGAAGGGCAGUCACUUACACAAACAUCUAUGAACAGGUCCAGUCCCGGACAAUAAGGAGCUCUCCACUGAUCAAUGUUGGGGUAGCAGCCCGCUCUACCAAUCUCAUCUCUGUAAACCCAUUCAUCAGAUGCUACAUGUAAACUUUUUUUUGUUUCUGUUUGAGUGUGCUUGAAAGAGAAAACAUAUGUCUGAGUGUGCCACACGUGUGUGUGUGUGUGUGUGUGUGUGUGUGUGUGUGUGUGUGUGUGUGUGUGUGUGUGUGUGUGUGUGUGGGUUUGAGAGUGAGAGAGACUAUAUCAAAUGGUACUAACAGCCUGAAAAUACAUCCACAUACUGUACAUCUUAUAAGUAUAAAAAUGCAAAAUAAAAAAAAUAAAUAAAACACAAACUAAAGCAACAAGUAAUACAUACAAACCAAGUGCUUUGGUAGGGAGGUACGCCAAUUCAAAACUCAAACUGUACCAGUUAGUUGCUUCAGAAUAACGUUUCCAAGCAAGCAACUAGCACCUUAUUCACCAUGGUUAUCCCACCCUGCCAAUGAUGGACUCUAUAGGGCAUGGCUUACCAUAGUAGCUGAUAACAAUGAUGAAGGUGAAGAUGAUGAUGAUGAUGAUGAUGAUGAUGAUGAUGAUGAUGGACUGCGAGCUGACUGUUGGCCGACCAGGUCACGCAGCGACUCACCCACCGGCAUGUGAGGUGUUCAAGUACUCGUGUAAAUGUCACAACAGACAAAGAAUGGAAUAACAAUGUCUUGAAAUUUGCCAAGGUGAAAUGUGAUGUAAGCAUUUUUACAAACUUGAAGCUCAGUUUUCUUGUGUUUUUUUUUUUGUUAUGUUUUUAUUAUUAUUUUGUUGAGUUUGCUGUGGUGUAUUUCUUGAUUUAUCUUAAGGGGGAAGACGGGUUAAAAGUUGGAGAAUUGGGUGGGUUGAACCAUAUGUAAACUUGGGCUGCCCCGUGCGAGUCUCUUAGCCAACAUUAAGGUUUUCUUGUGGAGUAUGAUUUCCAGAAAGAUCAAUAUUGACACAUCAUAUAUAGCUGUGGUUCUCUUUUGUCUUGUGACCCAUUUAAAGGAUACUCCACCAGUUAUACACACUAGGAUGGGUUUACUAGAAUUUACAAAGAAUUAUUUUCAAACUCAGUUGUAAACUGUCUCCUGUGGUUUUGAAGGGAGCUUUUUUAAAAUCUGAGAAAUCAUUCCUUAUGAUGUCACUAGGGUUAGUUUGGAUUGGAUAAUUCUCAAGAAAAACUGGAAAGGUUAGAAAAAAAUCUGAAAUCAUAAAAAGGAUUUUGUGUAAUAGAAUUUCUUUAUUCUGCUUAACCAUCUCAUGACGUGUCAGAAUUGUGUUGCAACCCCUCGGGGGUUCCAGUCCACCAGGUUGGGAACAACUGAUAUAUAGGAUUUUAUUUUUUUUAUUUUCAUUUUUAUUUUUUCCAAAGAUGUGUGUCAGUUAGGUAUUAUUUUCUCAACAAAACUGUAGACAGCCUUUAAGUAAACAACAAAAUGACACAUUUUGUCCACAUUACAUAGAAAUGUAAUAGCUAUUGUUACCCAGAGAUUACCUGUGGAAACAAGGAUCAUGUAGUUUUGGAGCAUUGUACAAUACAUAAUGAUUCAAUGUACGAACCAACCCAAGUGUACAUAUGGCUCUUGGUGGGGGGGGGGGGGGGGGGGGGGGGGGGAAUCACUCUUCAAGAAGUUGCACUUAAGAACUUAGACACGAGUGUAAGACAGUGUGCGUUGGUUUGCCUGUGUGUGUGUGUGUGUGUGUGUGUGUGUGUGUGUGUGUGUGUGUGUGUGUGUGUGUGUGUGUCAGGGAGAGUAAGAAUCAGAGCUCAUUUCUGUUAAUUACUUCAUGUCUGUGUGCAGGAGCUUUAGCGUGAGAUGCUGUGUGUAUGUGUAUGUGUGUGUGUGUGUGUGUGUGUGUGAAUGGGUGAGUGAGUCUCUUUGUUUCUGCUCUUCCCUUGUGCGUAUGAGCGAGAGGGUGUGACCGAUUGUUGUCUGGCAAAAGAAAAAAAGCAUUUAAUAGUGUUGGAAACAACAGUUACAAUCAUGUUUACCUUCGACUGGAAUGACUUUAAAUGAACUUGAAAAUAAACUGUAAACUGAACAAACCAUAACAGAGGUUAUAACAAUGAUCAUGAUAACAAAAUAAUAAGCUUACAAAUCUUACUUUUAACAA
Long non-coding RNA from Sander lucioperca (pikeperch), 3349 nucleotides. RefSeq lists it as uncharacterized. The transcript has 2 exons. The record is from RefSeq and is a predicted model, not a curated record. NCBI's taxonomy places the organism in Eukaryota, Metazoa, Chordata, Actinopteri, Perciformes, Percidae.